GCAAUCAUGUGGAGGCGUCAGCAGC
RNAcentral lists this non-coding RNA (25 nucleotides) under Drosophila melanogaster (fruit fly). Lineage: Eukaryota; Metazoa; Arthropoda; Insecta; Diptera; Drosophilidae. The record is from RNAcentral.